AACCUGCCCUUUGCACUGGGAUAGCCUCGGGAAACCGAGGUUAAUACCGGAUACUCCAUAUCCAUCGCAUGAUAGAUAUGGGAAAAGCUCCGGCGGCAAAGGAUGGGGCCCGCGGCCUGUUAGCUAGUUGGUGGGGUAGUGGCCUACCCAAGGCAAUGAUGGGUAGCCGGGUUGAGAGACCGACCGGCCAGAUUGGGACUGAGACACGGCCCAGACUCCUACGGGAGGCAGCAGUGGGGAAUCUUGCACAAUGGGCGAAAGCCUGAUGCAGCGACGCCGCGUGCGGGAUGAAGGCCUUCGGGUUGUAAACCGCUUUCAGCAGGGACGAGGCCGCAAGGUGACGGUACCUGCAGAAGAAGCCCCGGCUAACUACGUGCCAGCAGCCGCGGUAAU
RNAcentral lists this ribosomal RNA (393 nucleotides) under uncultured Atopobium sp. RNAcentral describes it as "bacterial SSU rRNA". It matches the Rfam family "Bacterial small subunit ribosomal RNA", at positions 123 to 524 of the family's 1533-position model. Lineage: Bacteria; Bacillati; Actinomycetota; Coriobacteriia; Coriobacteriales; Atopobiaceae. The record is from RNAcentral.